GGCUGAAGUCGGACGCUUAACCGACUGCGCCACCCAGGCGCCCCAAAAAACUUAAACUCUUAAACCAAAGAGGCAGCCUGGAAUGAACUCCUAAAUGAGGAUCAGGCAAUUGUAAAACCCUCUGAAACCUGCAGCCAGAGAAUCGAUAGAUUGGGAAAUUACCUUUUCCCUCUGUUACUAACCUUACAGAUUAGCAGGAAAGCAUUUCUAUUCCCUCUCUCCACCCCUAUACUUCUCUGGGACAAGAAAUAGAAUCAUACAGGAAAACAGAAAAGACUUACAGAUUCUGCCAUUUGAGAGUCCCCCAAUGAAAAUGCUGCCUCACCUGGUCACCUGACAGUGAAACUCAUUAGUGUGCCCUACAUUAAUGCCAAUAAGCUUUUUAGUAUCUUGAUUUCAAAUAUUAAUGGACAAACAUGAACCAUUAGACAAUCAAGCCUCAGCAUGAAGGAGAAUAG
Molecule: long non-coding RNA, 458 nt
Organism: Herpailurus yagouaroundi (jaguarundi)
Lineage: Eukaryota; Metazoa; Chordata; Mammalia; Carnivora; Felidae
Exons: 2
Source: RefSeq, a predicted model, not a curated record